GACGAGGGAUCCUAGCGUUGUUCGGAAUUACUGGGCGUAAAGCGUGCGCAGGCGGCUUUGCAAGACAGAAUGUGAAAUCCCCGGGCUCAACCCUGGGAACUGCAUUUGUGACUGUGAGGCUUGGAGUACGGCAGAGGGGGGAUGGAAUUCCGCGUGUAGGCAGUGAAAUGCGUAGAUAUGCGGAGGAACACCGAUGGCGA
Molecule: ribosomal RNA, 200 nt
Filed under: uncultured bacterium
Lineage: Bacteria
Description: partial 16S ribosomal RNA
Rfam family: Bacterial small subunit ribosomal RNA
Source: RNAcentral